This 432-nucleotide ribosomal RNA is filed under the name uncultured Anoxybacillus sp. RNAcentral's name for it is "bacterial SSU rRNA". It matches the Rfam family "Bacterial small subunit ribosomal RNA", at positions 952 to 1382 of the family's 1533-position model. Lineage: Bacteria; Bacillati; Bacillota; Bacilli; Caryophanales; Anoxybacillaceae. The record is from RNAcentral.
CGAAGCAACGACGAAGAACCUUACCAGGUCUUGACAUUCCCUGACAACCCGAGAGAUCGGGCGUUCCCCUUCGGGGGACAGGGUGACAGGUGGUGCAUGGUUGUCGUCAGCUCGUGUCGUGAGAUGUUGGGUUAAGUCCCGCAACGAGCGCAACCCUCGACCUUAGUUGCCAGCAUUCAGUUGGGCACUCUAAGGUGACUGCCGGCUAAAAGUCGGAGGAAGUGGGGAUGACGUCAAAUCAUCAUGCCCCUUACUGACCUGGGCUACACACGUGCUACAAUGGGCGGUACAAAGGGUCGCGAACCCGCGAGGGGGAGCCAAUCCCAAAAAGCCGCUCUCAGUUCGGAUUGCAGGCUGCAACUCGCCUGCAUGAAGCCGGAAUCGCUAGUAAUCGCGGAUCAGCAUGCCGCGGUGAAUACGUUCCCGGGCCUU